CACACACCUACCCCUAUAUAUACACACAUCUACCCCAUAUGUACACACACCUACCCCUAUAUGUACACACACCUACCCCUAUAUGUACACAUACCUACAGAUAUUUCUUUAUGCGACUAUAGGUGUCUAUAAUAGGCUAAACCUGAGUUCUUCUGAUAUCUCUGACUCUAAUCAUUGUGUCAUUUUCCCACUUUGCUGUAAUUCUCCUCCAAUAAGAAACAUGGCUCCCACCGACCAUCCACUUAAUUAAUGGUUCAGUUUUUUGUUGUUGUUGUUGUUGUUGUUUUGGAGACAGAGUCUCUCUCUGUCGUGGGAUUACAGGCGUGAGCCACCGUGCCCAACCGAUGGUUCAGUUUUAGCAUGAAUGUGGUGUCAGCACUGUUCACCAGUACUCCUGCAAGAAACAACUUUAUCCACUAGAGUACAAUGCUGUGUGCAGUUCUCUUUGCCUUUGGUCUUAGAGACGCCACUCAUUUCCAAAUUACUUAUAUUAUUAACAGCACCUUUCCCCUACUGGCUUCAGUGAGCUCCUGAAACUUCUGCAGGGUUUUCUUUUGAAAUAAGGGGAUGGCCCUUUUCCAGGAAGGCGGCCUCAAGGAAAAGCCACCUCCAGGUGUAACCAGAAACACUGAGCAUUUCUCAGCGGGGAGGGAGAGGACAGCCUGACAUUUUAUUGUCUGAGCUGAACUUACGCUGUAUGAAUACAAACAGCUCCUAGAUAUUUGUAGCGUGGUGGCUUCCUGAGUCUGCAGACUGAGGUUCUUGCUGCACCACGUGUGGGAGGUGAGGAUGCUGUUCCCUCGUUGCCUUCAAGACAUCUGCUUGGGUUUGGUCUGUCACUUUAAGAUCCUCCUGGUAGCUCGUGUUACCCUUCCCUCCCAUGUCUAGCAUGCUGUGGAAUUUACUUUCCAAAUCAUUCUACUCCCUUCCCUGCACUGUGCAUUUGAAAUCCUAGUGCUCAACCUCAACACAUUUAGAACUCCCAAGUUGCAGCAAUUCUCUACCUCCUUCCUCGUAGGUCCUGGACACGUACGAGUGCAUACAUGCCUGCAGCUUAGGCACGUUCACGUGGAGUGACUGAUCUGAUUCUCCUGACGUCACUCUGAUGCACAGGUGCUCUGAUUCAUUUUACCGGCGGCCCGGCUCACUGAAGCAACCCAUCCAGGCCAUCCUUGCCAACUUGCUCUUCUUGGGUGGAUUAAAGGCUGAUGUGCUCUCCAGGGGCUUGUGAAUCUUCUGGGUACCCCUACCCAGUCAGGAUGGCUGCAGAUGCAUCUUUAUGCACAUUCCAGCAGCAUCUCUGCCUGGGGUGCUGAAAGUCACUGUCUGAAGCAGCUGGGAGGCAGAAGUGAUUCUGACUUUGGGGCACCCACCCUCUGGAAAAUGUGGCACAUCAUUAGUGGAUGGUUCAAGCACGCUCAGCUCUCAGGGGGCAGUUAUUCCUGGCACCAAGAAACUAGCCUGGAAAAAUCUGUCUUAUGCAACAUGCAGGGUCCAUGAAGGGCAGAGCUCUGAUUUUCAAGGUGUGGGAUAGCCAAUGGUUCGAUUCCAGAUGAGGCAUCUCCACUCGCUAUACUUCAGCGGGAUCGUGGGCUCCUUGGCACAGAUGUCGGGGUUAUGAAUUGUGAUUGGUUUAUAUUUUAUAAUCCACAUUUUGGAAACCAAUUGUGUUGAGGAUCUUCAUCUUCUCAUGUAUUUUAGGUCUAGGGUGAAACAUUUCUUUGAUGUUUAACACUGGGUACUGACGCUGAAGUGUGACCGCCACACAAAGUAUCCAGCCUACCCCAGUCGAGCAGGGGUCUUCAGGACCGCAGCAUACUUUGUGGUUGCCUCCUUGGCAGUGGGGGUGGAGUCUAGAAUGAAUUGCUGCUUCCCAGCUUCUAGAGUUGCUGUGGUUGCAAGCUCUGGUCUCUUGAUCUCUGUCUCACACGCUCUGGGCCCACCGUUUUGCUGCAGCUAUUGCCGUGGUGACUGGCCACGUGCAGGUGUGGCCUGACACACCGUGUCUCAGCUCUGCCUGGUCCUCUACCACCUCUACCUGGCAUCUGGCAGGAGCCCGCUUAGCCGUGGUGUGUGGCGCACCCGGGAGUGUGAGGGAAUUAACACCCUCAGGCAACCCCCGACCAGUCGAGACCACAGCUAAUGGAGAACACUUCCCUUUCCAAGCCAUGGCUGGACCAUGUGAGGCUCCUUCCUUGGUGGAUCCCAAGCAGGAUCAAGCCUAAACCAUCCACAGUGGUAACCCCCUUAGUCUCACAUCCUUGAGUUGGCUUUUCUUAUUCUUGGUUUCUCCCCCUCCAGGUCCCACUCAGGCUUCCUGAAAUCACCUUCCCACAUAGCCCUGCUCUGUAGAGGUCCUGGCCUCAGCCAGCUUCUGGGGGAACAUGAGCUAUGGCAGCUGUUUAUCUGUUUCAAAUAACAUUAUAAGACAACGCCAGAGACAUUCAAUACCAUGGCCAAGGUCCCAUGGUGAAAAUAUGGCGCAUGUGAGAUGCAGAACAAGAACCCAACAGGUGUUCAUCGCCAUCGUGGCAGGAAACAGCAAGACAACUUGACAAGGAUCUCCUGCCACUUGCCCACUGGAACUGGAAUGGAGUGUUAAUGACGCAGGAGUGCGUGAAUUUACAUGUCAUAUACACAUAUACAAAUUCACCUGUAGACAGAGCAAUAUUUGGUUAUAUGAAACGUCUACAAAGAGCACAUUCUAAAAGCAGCUUUAGGAUUAUGGGUGCUUUUCUCCCUCUUAACACAUUAAAAAUGUGUUAAUUUUUAAAUGUGUUUAAAUGUGUUAAUUUUUUUUCUCCACUGAACAUAAAUAAUUUGUAUACAUUGAAAAGAAAACAAGGUUAUCUUUUGAAAAAAAGACACAAUCAAUAAUAAAAUGAUUCCCCACUUAGUGCCUGAUGUCCUUCAAAUGUUAUUUUAUUAGUCCUAUAAGAGAUUACAAAAUUAAAUGAAAAGACAAGGACAUUAAGAUUUAGGGUGAAAAUAGCUGAAUUUAAAAUAAAAGUUUCAACAAGCUGCCAAGCCUUCCUGUACUAUUGCUAUCUCAGCUUCUUGGGGAGGACAGGUUAAAGGGAGGCCUUCUGUGGGAAAGCCUGAUGAUCCUUGUGAUGAAUAAAUUGACAUCCAGCUGCUGUUAUUAUAUCCUGGAAGGGCUCAGGAUGGAAACCUUAUUCUGCCAUUGGUUGUUGGAAAUAAUGAGGCUUUAUAUCCCCUUCAAGGAAAAAAAUGUGCUACAAUAGUUUAUAAAAUAAGCCAGAAAAUGCUAUGAAAGGUGUCAGUUUCUUUUUCCUGUGGAGUAAGAAGCCCUUGGUUCGCCAUCGCUAUGGACUGAUGGUGUCAUUCUCCCCAGCCCCAAAGUUCAUAAGUGGAAGCCCUAACUCCAGUGUGAUGGCAUUUGAAGGGGGGGCCUUUGGGAGGUAAUUAGGGUUACGCCGUAAGGUCAUGAGGAUGGGGCCCCAAGAUGGGGUUACUGCCCUUAUAAGAAGUGACAGGGGAGAGCGGGUGCUCUCUCCUGUGAGGACACAAUGAGCAGCCAGGACGCGGCCCUCCCAGAACCCGACCACGCAGGCAUACGGAUCCCAGCCUCCAGCCUCUGGCCACUGGCCUCCAGAACUGGGAGGAAACCCAUUUCGGUUGUUUUUGGCUCCCAGCCUGUGGGUGCCACAGACUCAGCGCUAUCACUGUCUCCAGCAUCAGAACUGCCCCGGGGUAGGUGGAGACUGCGGGCUUUCUUAUGCCAGUGAAAUGAAAGAUCACAGACACACACUGGGCAGUGAAUACUCUGGACACCUGAGGGGUGCAGCUGCGUCCCACCGUCCACACAGUGCUGCUGAAAAAGCAAGGACUCUAUUUCUCUUUCUGUCUAAAAGCCUGAUGGGUCCAUUCAACACAGCAACUGGCUUGAGAAACCGAUUCUUAGGGAUCACAUCUUAGCAGCGUACAGGACCACGGGGCCCAGACGCGCCUCUCAGGGCCCAUCACAUAGCACUUCAGGAAGCCCACCCAGCUCUCUGAGACCCUCCCUUCCCUGAAGUCUGGAGGGCAGACUCAGCACA
Cercocebus atys (sooty mangabey) is the source of this 4061-nucleotide long non-coding RNA. RefSeq lists it as uncharacterized. The record is from RefSeq and is a predicted model, not a curated record. Lineage: Eukaryota; Metazoa; Chordata; Mammalia; Primates; Cercopithecidae. The transcript has 3 exons.